AGAGUCCUACGGGGCGCAGCAGUGAGGGAUAUUGGUCAAUGGGGGAAACCCUGAACCAGCAACGCCGCGUGAGGGAAGACGGUUUUCGGAUUGUAAACCUCUGUCCUCUGUGAAGAUAAUGACGGUAGCAGAGGAGGAAGCUCCGGCUAACUACGUGCCAGCAGCCGCGGUAAUACGUAGGGAGCAAGCGUUGUCCGGAUUUACUGGGUGUAAAGGGCGUGUAGGCGGGGAAGCAAGUCAGAUGUGAAAACCACGGGCUCAACCUGUGGCCUGCCUUUGAAACUGUUUUUCUUGAGUGCUGGAGG
RNAcentral lists this ribosomal RNA (305 nucleotides) under uncultured bacterium. RNAcentral describes it as "bacterial SSU rRNA". It matches the Rfam family "Bacterial small subunit ribosomal RNA", at positions 333 to 655 of the family's 1533-position model. The record is from RNAcentral.